CCGUUGACGUGAUAAAAACGGAUCAAGGCAGUGGAUUGUGAAUCCACCAUGCGCGGGUUCAAUUCCCGUCGUUCGC
RNAcentral lists this transfer RNA (76 nucleotides) under Pleroma semidecandrum. RNAcentral's name for it is "tRNA-His". The record is from RNAcentral. Lineage: Eukaryota; Viridiplantae; Streptophyta; Magnoliopsida; Myrtales; Melastomataceae.